CGCGUAGGCGGUUUCUUAAGUCAGAGGUGAAAACUGUGGGCUCAACCCACAGCCUGCCUUUGAAACUGGGAGACUUGAGGGCAGGAGAGGGGAGUGGAAUUCCCAGUGUAGCGGUGAAAUGCGUAGAUAUUGGGAGGAACACCAGUGGCGAAGGCGGCUCUCUGGCCUGUUUCUGACGCUGAGGCGCGAAAGCGUGGGGAGCAAACGG
This 208-nucleotide ribosomal RNA is filed under the name uncultured Peptococcaceae bacterium. Its description in RNAcentral is "partial 16S ribosomal RNA". It matches the Rfam family "Bacterial small subunit ribosomal RNA", at positions 568 to 775 of the family's 1533-position model. Lineage: Bacteria; Bacillati; Bacillota; Clostridia; Eubacteriales; Peptococcaceae. The record is from RNAcentral.